UAAAGUCGGGUGCGUCUCAUAUGUGCACAAAAGAAGAACAACACAUACAAUGACCAAGUGUAUAGACAUAAAUGUCAUAAAUAUCAUUAUUACAUGGCGGAAGAGUCUUACAUAAAUAAAUGAUAGCAAUAAAAUGGACUAAAAAUUAUUCCUUGGCACCAUAAAGCUGACUGGGAGACGCCACCUAGAUAAGCUUAUACUCUUCGCCGUAGACCUCCUCUUGCGCCACAUGUUCUUCUCCUGUAGGGGGGGGUUUAUAUAUCGCAAGGGUGAGCUCACAAAAGAUCAUAGCUCAACAAGUUGUGGGGAAUAAUGUGCAUGAACUCACCGAAGGUGGGAGUUCAUGUGAAGUGUAAGGCUGAUCAACGAAUAAUGGUUAAAGCUGAGCAUUGCUUUUAAUAAGUUGGUCAGAAUUUAUUAGCAGUUACUAAAUGUAAGUAUAUACCAAAUUAGAGUAAUAAUAGAUCAUAAUUAAUAAUAAACCACAAUGCGAUGCAAAUGACCAAAAAUUUAAUUCUAUACCAUGUGAGGGUCUGAGCCGCUCAUGACCGUGAGCACAGCUGAUAUACCAGUUUUACACUCUGCAGAGGUUGCACAUCUUUACCCACAAGUCAUUUUACCCAUAUGCCAAGGGGUCAUGAAUCGCAUACACCUCUACCAAGGAAGCGAGGCAGGGUAACACUGCGAGGCCUUUACAAAGUUCCACUAACUUUAGAAAACCCGCUAUAGUUUCUAGAGAGCGCAGCAUAGGAAUCCCCCAUCUGAAAAGCCAUCACAGCAAAAUCAACCCGAGAGGCCGAGAACCUCCCUAUACCGACCACUCCCCUGCUGCCCUUGCCCCUUUUGGCUAAGGUAGUCCUCCAAUAUCUUUCCUAAUUAGUCAGCCAAGGGCGUCCCAUACCACCCUUGUGGUAGCACUAUUUUCCCAGGUAGUCGCUCUAUGUUCUAAUUAACAUAAUGAUCUUGUCAUGAACGGUAAAUAACAAAUCGAUAAUAAAAGCAUGAUCAUGAAUAAUGUGUAUAUUAGCACCCAAAACCACAUAAAGCAAUAACAGGUACUACCAAAAAGUUCAGUGGUAAACAAGGUAUAAAGAUAGCCAAACUGGGGUGACCUAUUGGGUCCCAUAAAAAUUAACCUAUGCAGAUCAUAAUGAUUAAUAGAAAUAUUAUUGGGUAAAUAGAUGUGAUCAAGGGCACAACUUGCCUUCAACGAGCUCCUCCUCAGUCACUUGCCCGUCUACUCGCAACAAUACAAGCAAACAUGGUACAAGGAAAAUUAACAUCAUACCAAACAUGAGAAUAUAUUGCAUAAUAAUAUUAUAUGCAUCAUAACAAGAUCGUAAGUUCGGGAAUCACUAAAUUCGGAGUUAUGGUUAAAGAGUUAUGAUUUUCUGAAGUUAUUAAGUGCCUAGUAUACAAUAAGUUAAGUGGAUAAUUUUAAUACAUGUUUCAUGACAAAACAGAGUUACCAAGUGAUAAACAAUAUUAAUACAAAAUUAAUGCGACUGGAAUGGAUAAAAAAAGAGUUAAAAUGGAUUUUCUAUGAAUUAAACAAGUUCUAGAAUUAUUUUUAUACUAGAAAAGCAUUUUCUAUAUGAAUUUACCUAUUUUCUUAGAUUUCUGGACUGCGCGCAUCAAUUCUGAGAAAUGCAGGGUUCAUUUUUUUAAAUCCUGGGUCCAUUUGUAAUUUCUUUCUAACUGGGUUGGACGAGGGGUUGAUAAGCUAAAUCUUAAUUCGGCGCUUUGGAUUUUAAUACCCAAUAUCAUCCCUCGCCCGCACGAUCUGGAUCGGACGGCACCCGCGGCAUCCUCCUGAAGAGGUAUCCCGCAUCUAAUCGUGUCCGUUACACUCUCGAUCAACGAUCACCGCGUUCUCUCCCCAUACCAACUGCGCACGGGCGGUGGCGCCCGCAGACACGGCGGUGGCCAUGGCCGUGGAUGGCCAACUCGACACCUCAGGCCGCAAACUCUAAUCUAAGAUGUGCUACGAGAUAAGUAGACGAAGGUGAUCUUCAUGGGUUCAGUACUCACCAAACACAAAGUCACGCACGGGCUGUUCACGGUGGGGCGCGAGCGCGAUGGAAAUCCCAACUCCGGCGAAGGAUUCCCAUGGACUUAGCUAGGUCCCUUUCGAUUACUCUCUCCCACGGCUUCUAUGCAAUCAGCCUGAGACUCGGGUGGCCACGAUGGGGGCCGAACCCCACUGCAGAUGGCUAUCCGUGACGGCGGUGAUUUGUCUCCUCGUGGGAUGCGGCGACGCAAUGGGUGGUGUGGAGUAGCGGCGGCGGAAAAAGGGCACGAGUGGACGAGGCCGAAGGAUGCGCUAUUUGUAGGCGAGACGGGUAUGGGGGCAGCUCGCAAGCUCCAGCGAGGAUCUCGGUGUGGUCGGUACUCGCCUGGGACCGAACUGCUGAGAAGACCAACUGCACCCAG
Molecule: long non-coding RNA, 2433 nt
Filed under: Zea mays
Lineage: Eukaryota; Viridiplantae; Streptophyta; Magnoliopsida; Poales; Poaceae
Description: long non-coding RNA (ZMAY_LNC005488)
Source: RNAcentral